RNAcentral lists this transfer RNA (81 nucleotides) under Haemonchus placei. It matches the Rfam family "tRNA". From Rfam's summary of the family: Transfer RNA (tRNA) molecules are approximately 80 nucleotides in length. Their secondary structure includes four short double-helical elements and three loops (D, anti-codon, and T loops). Further hydrogen bonds mediate the characteristic L-shaped molecular structure. tRNAs have two regions of fundamental functional importance: the anti-codon, which is responsible for specific mRNA codon recognition, and the 3' end, to which the tRNAs corresponding amino acid is attached (by aminoacyl-tRNA synthetases). tRNAs cope with the degeneracy of the genetic code in two manners: having more than one tRNA (with a specific anti-codon) for a particular amino acid; and 'wobble' base-pairing, i.e. permitting non-standard base-pairing at the 3rd anti-codon position. The record is from Rfam by way of RNAcentral. Lineage: Eukaryota; Metazoa; Nematoda; Chromadorea; Rhabditida; Trichostrongylidae.
GGAGAGAUGGCUGGGCGGUCCGAGCGCUGGUCUAAGGCACCAGUCCCUCCGGGGGCGCGGGUUCGAAUCCCGCUCUCACUA